This is a long non-coding RNA of Hyla sarda, 762 nucleotides long. RefSeq lists it as uncharacterized. The transcript is spliced from 4 exons. NCBI's taxonomy places the organism in Eukaryota, Metazoa, Chordata, Amphibia, Anura, Hylidae. The record is from RefSeq and is a predicted model, not a curated record.
UCAUCUGUCGGAGCUGGUGAAUGGCCAUGUCUCCCUCAGCCAAACAUUGAACUCAUACUUGUAGCUAUCCUAUCCCUCUGGAAUAAGAAAGAAAAUCUCAACUGUCAGUUAGUCACAUGUUCUCUGCAGCCAAUCAGAGAAGCCAUCCUGUUUGCCGCCCUGCACCUCUGGGAUAGGGAAGAAGUUCUAACAGUUGAGAGUCUGGCUUUGGUCAGUAAAGAUGCAACAGCUCCUGUGUCCCUCUCCUCUUACCUCACAGAGGGAUGCCCUGUCAUCCUUUGCACUUUUGCCUGCUUCCGAGGACAUCAGAAACCUACAGGAACUGACCAAUCACUGGCCUCAGCAGUGACUCGCCUCAGCCUGUGAUUGGCUGAGCAUCCAUUUGCUGCAGGGCGGGGCUAAAUGGAAGAAGCAUGAAGCCUGGGGACAGAGCGCUGUACAUUAUACUGACAUGAACCAGCAAGUCGAAGACCAAAAGGACACUCUAUCUGAUAUGGAUGCCUAUGGACACGUGCAGCCAUUACAACAGGAGCUUUCCAGACUUGCCUGCUAAAUGUGGUGCCAAAACCUAAUGGCCGGAUCUUGGCAUAUUCCAUACUUAUGAGGCUUUUGGCUGCACCCUUUGUACAUUUUGGUUUCUGAACUCUUUGUCUACAAUAAAAAGAAAAAUCACUCACCUUGGGAGUUCAUAAAAUGCAAGUUCUGCAUUUAACUCCUAUUUAAGUCCUAUAUAGACUACUUGUAAAUUUACUAAAUUAAACA